Long non-coding RNA from Lemur catta (Ring-tailed lemur), 1828 nucleotides. RefSeq lists it as uncharacterized. The record is from RefSeq and is a predicted model, not a curated record. The transcript is spliced from 2 exons. NCBI's taxonomy places the organism in Eukaryota, Metazoa, Chordata, Mammalia, Primates, Lemuridae.
ACAGGAGGGGAACAGCCCCCAGCUACGUUCAAAGCAGCGCCCGAGAGGGAGGCCAGGGCCCGGGGCAAGGGGAGGCACCUGCCUGCUGUGCUUGGGCCACGGCUGCUCUGCUUGGGGCUCUCGAGACCCUGGUGGUCACAGUGAGGCCUGGGGACAGUGAAAUGGAAAGACCACAGCAAUCUGGAGUUGGGGGAGGGAGGCUCCCUACUGCCCUUGGUGGGAGCAAGUGGCCGGCACCCCUGAAGAACUCGCCUCCCUGUGCUGCGUCCCCGAGCCCAGCGCUUCCUGGGUCCCCAGGGCCCGAGUGAACAGGCCCAGGGGGACAAAGGCCGUGCAGAGGCUGUGGACGCCCCGGGCGGCACCAAGCUCCCACACUGGGCGUUCUCAGCUCUUCUGUCAGAGUCCAGUCGAGCACAGGGGCCCUGGGGUGGUUGUCCGUGUUUCCAGUCACAGCAGGGCAAUCCUCCGCCUCUCCUCAGGACACUCCAUGUGAGUGACCACUUGUCGUGGCUGCGGCCGCUGCCCCAGACAGGGAGAGCUUCCCAGGGCGGCACAGAGCAGCACUGGUUGUGCCUCCCCCGCACACCCAGCAGGAGCCACAACGCUGUCCCCACACCCUGCGGGCACAGGCCACCCAGGGGCCAGGCAUGGCCGGGCUGCUGAGCUCUAGCCCAGCCCAGGGGCCCGGCUUCAGGCUGCUCGGUGGCCCAGAAGGUCGCUGGAAUGGGGUCUCUGACCCCAGUGAGGCCCCAGCCCCUUGAGGGUGCCGGGUGGGCCUGCCCUUCGUUCGGGCAACCUGGAGGCUGGAAGCGACAAAGCCCUGCAGGUCUCCUUCACUGUUUCCGAGGAAGUGAGAGGAAAAGGGCAGAGCUGGUGUCCUGAGCAGGUGUCCCCAGGACAUCUGCACACUUCCAAUGACAGCCCUCGCCAGAGAGCACACCCUGGGACCCCACUGCUUGCCAGAACCGGGUGUGGCCUCGGACCCGCUUGGAGACCAGGGGUGGGCAAUGGACGGGACAGGACAGGCGGGAGAGGGGAGUCCGGGCAAGGAGACUUCCAGUAAGGGAAACUGACGAAGGCAGGAAGGCAGGGCCUGCGGCAGGGGCGGCUGGUGGGCAUCUUCCACCCCCAGCCCCUGGGAAGGAGAUAUGGAUGCGCAGGGCUUCCCUGGCCCACAGAGGCCUCCUGGCACCCAGCCACCUGGUGCCCUCAGUCUCCAGGGACUGCACUUGGGGCUGAGAACAGGCUCACGUCAGGGGUGACCGCUGGAGCCACCUGUGCCCAGACCUAAGCCCACAGAUGCCCGGGCACCCAGGAUGCCCAGGAGCACCAGUUGACAUCACUAGGCGGCCACAGAGACGGGACAGAGCAGCGAGAGAGCGCGAAGACCUGUCUGCAGGUGGCACUGCGGCCUCAGGCCCUGCACUCAGAGCCCCACAAAGGCAGCAGGGGACAUCGGAUGCUGAACCGGAGAAGGGGUGAGGUGCUGGUGUCCAACAGGCCAUGCCGCCUGCGAGGACCAGCACUGACGCCUCGGGAACCCGGGGGCAGCAUGGCCCCCACAGUGGCCGGGCCUCAGCUUCCUCUCAGCCCCUCCGGGGUCGCUUCUGCAGCAGCUGCCCAGACUGACCCUAACUCUUGCUGUUCUGAGAAGUCCCCUCCAGAGCACAGGCAAGGCACAGAGCAGGGGAGCGCGCGUGUGGGGUCACACUGGGCCAGUCCUGUGACUCAGUUUCUUUUUACAUCCAUUGUGGCUGGCUGCGCUUUCUUUAUGGCCCACAGAGCCCUGGGCACUUGCCUUCUGGUAAACCAGGUAGUGGAAAGAUCA